RNAcentral lists this ribosomal RNA (440 nucleotides) under uncultured bacterium. RNAcentral's name for it is "partial 16S ribosomal RNA". It matches the Rfam family "Bacterial small subunit ribosomal RNA", at positions 338 to 795 of the family's 1533-position model. The record is from RNAcentral.
CCUACGGGGGGCUGCAGUGGGGGAUAUUGCACAAUGGGGGGAACCCUGAUGCAGCGACGCCGCGUGGGUGAAGAAGCGCCUCGGCGCGUAAAGCCCUGUCAGCAGGGAAGAAAAUGACGGUACCUGAAGAAGAAGCCCCGGCUAACUACGUGCCAGCAGCCGCGGUAAUACGUAGGGGGCAAGCGUUAUCCGGAUUUACUGGGUGGAAAGGGGGCGCAGACGGCGAUGCAAGCCAGGAGUGAAAGCCCGGGGCCCAACCCCGGGACUGCUCUUGGAACUGCGUGGCUGGAGUGCAGGAGGGGCAGGCGGAAGUCCUGGUGUAGCGGUGAAAUGCGUAGAUAUCAGGAGGAACACCGGUGGCGAAGGCGGCCUGCUGGACUGCAACUGACGUUGAGGCCCGAAAGCGUGGGGAGCAAACAGGAUUAGAUACCCUUGUAGUC